AUGCGGCGGCUACCGCUGCGACUCCUGCGCUCCGCGGCCGCCGGAUCUCUCCGGAGCCCCGCCCCCUCACGUGGCUGUCCUGUCCCCCGAGCGCCACAUCUGCCGGCGGAGGCAGCCGCCGCGCCGGCCGAGCUUGCCCGCUGGCUACCGCGGAGAGGGUACUCCCGGUUCGCGAGCGGAUUCACCCCCUUGGAGCCGAAGAAGCUGGGAUCCAUCCUCGACGUCGAGCGCGCCAAGGGCCUCUCCCCCGAACACCUGGUCGCGGCAUGGGAUGACUACCACCUGGGAAGAGGUCACAUAGGUGUAUCAAUGAAAGCAAAGCUUUACCGUCUCUUGGAACAAAGAUCGGCUACAUGCCCAUAUUUUGUUAUUCCUUUGUGGAGAGGAAGUGGAUAUACCACCAUGUUUAUGCAAGUCCAGCUGCCACACAUGAUCUUCACAGGGCUUGAAGACUACAAAGCAAGGGGAACUCAAGCAAGCCCUUACUAUACAGUCACUCAUUUCACAGAGUUUGCAGAAACCAAGGAUACAGUGCUUGUCCGAGGAGACGUUGUCUUCACCAGCAAACUAACCGAUGCAGAGGCAAAGUGUCUUUUAGAGACCGCCCACUCGUUCUACCUGAACGAUGUGCGGUACAAGCUCGUGGAGCGUUUCAACAAGGAAACACAUGAUUUCGAGUUCAAAGAUGUCCUUCAGGCGCUUGAAAUGCCGUCCAUGUGA
Molecule: ribosomal RNA, 720 nt
Filed under: Triticum aestivum (bread wheat)
Lineage: Eukaryota; Viridiplantae; Streptophyta; Magnoliopsida; Poales; Poaceae
Description: partial small subunit ribosomal RNA
Source: RNAcentral